UGAAAACAUAAAUUUGUCACGUUGACCAGAUUUGAAGUCAUUUUCUUCCGUUCAGUUAGUCAAUACAUAAUUUGACUAUCUGUUUCCUCAACAUUACCAGUCUCUGGUAAACUUUGACUUGUAUCCUGGUCAUUUUGUUUAUAUUGUUUGGCGGGAAGAAACAAUAGCGUCGGUCGCCAUUUUCCUCCCAGGAAAACACGAAGUGAUGUAUGGCAUGGACUCUCAACUUCCACUGAAUGGACAAACAAAUCAAAAUACAAUGCAUUGUUACGAAUAUAGACAAGAUGAAAACCACAUUAAGUACACGAAGAUGCUACCAUGAAUAGAAGAAAUAAGUUAAUCCAUUUCUGAGGAAAACAGCCAAACAAGAAGAAAACAGAACUGAUGAUGAUUUCAUUCCCAUGUGCCAUGUUUGCUAAGGACCUGUGAAAUGAUCAAAGAAGAAAACAACCAGUAAGCAGUUAAUAUAUUCCUCUGAGGUAGGAAAACAAAGCAACAACGUAACUGAAAGGGUGCAACGAGGGACUGUUUCCUGAAGUUAUUUCUUUGAUUGAUUAGAAAUCAUU
This is a long non-coding RNA of Saccostrea cuccullata (small rock oyster), 566 nucleotides long. RefSeq lists it as uncharacterized. Lineage: Eukaryota; Metazoa; Mollusca; Bivalvia; Ostreida; Ostreidae. The transcript is spliced from 4 exons. The record is from RefSeq and is a predicted model, not a curated record.